Molecule: ribosomal RNA, 911 nt
Filed under: Alternaria infectoria
Lineage: Eukaryota; Fungi; Ascomycota; Dothideomycetes; Pleosporales; Pleosporaceae
Description: LSU rRNA
Rfam family: Eukaryotic large subunit ribosomal RNA
Source: RNAcentral
GCAUAUCAAUAAGCGGAGGCACAAGAAACCAACCGGGAUUGCCCUAGUAACGGCGAGUGAAGCGGCAACAGCUCAAAUUUGAAAUCUGGCUCUUUUAGAGUCCGAGUUGUAAUUUGCAGAGGGCGCUUUGGCUUUGGCAGCGGUCCAAGUUCCUUGGAACAGGACGUCACAGAGGGUGAGAAUCCCGUACGUGGUCGCUGGCUAUUGCCGUGUAAAGCCCCUUCGACGAGUCGAGUUGUUUGGGAAUGCAGCUCUAAAUGGGAGGUACAUUUCUUCUAAAGCUAAAUAUUGGCCAGAGACCGAUAGCGCACAAGUAGAGUGAUCGAAAGAUGAAAAGCACUUUGGAAAGAGAGUCAAACAGCACGUGAAAUUGUUGAAAGGGAAGCGCUUGCAGCCAGACUUGCUUGCAGUUGCUCAUCCGGGCUUUUGCCCGGUGCACUCUUCUGCAGGCAGGCCAGCAUCAGUUUGGGCGGUAAGAUAAAGGUCUCUGUCACGUACCUCUCUUCGGGGAGGCCUUAUAGGGGAGACGACAUAUUACCAGCCUGGACUGAGGUCCGCGCAUCUGCUAGGAUGCUGGCGUAAUGGCUGUAAGCGGCCCGUCUUGAAACACGGACCAAGGAGUCUAACAUCUAUGCGAGUGUUUGGGUGUCAAGCCCGAGCGCGUAAUGAAAGUGAACGGAGGUAGGAACCCGCAAGGGUGCACUAUCGACCGAUCCUGAUGUCUUCGGAAGGAUUUGAGUAAGAGCAUGGCUGUUGGGACCCGAAAGAUGGUGAACUAUGCUUGAAUAGGGUGAAGCCAGAGGAAACUCUGGUGGAGGCUCGCAGCGGUUCUGACGUGCAAAUCGAUCGUCAAAUUUGGGCAUAGGGGCGAAAGACUAAUCGAACUAUCUAGUAGCUGGUUCCUGCCGAAG